RNAcentral lists this ribosomal RNA (253 nucleotides) under uncultured bacterium. Its description in RNAcentral is "partial 16S ribosomal RNA". It matches the Rfam family "Bacterial small subunit ribosomal RNA", at positions 524 to 776 of the family's 1533-position model. The record is from RNAcentral.
UACAGAGGGCUCAAGCGUUGUUCGGAUUCAUUGGGCGUAAAGGGUGCGUAGGUGGCGCGUUAAGUCAGGUGUGAAAUUUCGGAGCUUAACUCCGAAACUGCAUUUGAUACUGGCGUGCUUGAGGACUGGAGAGGAGACUGGAAUUCACGGUGUAGCAGUGAAAUGCGUAGAUAUCGUGAGGAAGACCAGUGGCGAAGGCGGGUCUCUGGACAGUUCCUGACACUGAGGCACGAAGGCCAGGGGAGCGAACGGG